RNAcentral lists this small RNA (30 nucleotides) under Bombyx mori (domestic silkworm). RNAcentral's name for it is "ovarian small RNA-38040". Lineage: Eukaryota; Metazoa; Arthropoda; Insecta; Lepidoptera; Bombycidae. The record is from RNAcentral.
UUGGUAGUAUAGUGGUCAGUAUCCCCGCCU